UGUUGAUGAUGAGGGAAAUUUAUAGUCAUACUUUUAAAUCUCUCCUAAGCUUGGUAGAGAUUCUCUCGUUUUUUCUAUCCAAAACUCAUAAUCUCACUUCUCAAAUG
Capsicum annuum is the source of this 107-nucleotide small nucleolar RNA. NCBI's taxonomy places the organism in Eukaryota, Viridiplantae, Streptophyta, Magnoliopsida, Solanales, Solanaceae. The record is from RefSeq and is a predicted model, not a curated record.